CCCUGCCCGCCAUAGGCUGUGGCACAGGUUACUCAUAUUUUGAGGCUGGUUCUCAGAGAUGGGAGGGCAGAAAAGGAAGUCCACACAACCUGACGACUCAGCUGAAUUUGAUUGCCUCCUCUUCCCACAUGGUGUAGUAUCUUCACCAGCAUCCAAGACAAUUCAGAGACUCCAGAGUCUCGUCCAUUCCUGGCAAGGUGAUGACUUAUGGUUUGAAUUCUUCUCCUCCAGCCUAUUUUCUGUGGCUUUUUAUCCUCUCCCGUCUCUAACAUCACUGCCAACCACACUGGGAAUGGGAACCGGGGCGGGGGAAAUGAUUAAACCAGGAGGAAGGUGGUAUCUGUGGAGCCAUGUUUUGCUUUAUAAAUCGUUUUAUGGUAUAUGAGGAUGGAACUGUUUCCACAGUCAGGUUUUGCUGUUUUUAGGUUUUUUUAAACUAAUCCGUGGGCAUUCUUGGCAUCCUCUGCUUUGCCUGCCUGCCCCACAGAUACACAGUAAUGCGCUGGAUCGGCCCCGAGUCAGCUCGGAGACGGUUGUUGACCUUUUUACUCCCAGCAUUCUGGAGAUAAUGCACAGCAUCUUGCCACACUGCCGUCAUGCCAUAUGAUUGAAAGACCGUGUAAUGUGAAAUACUUCUCCCAUGUACCAGUGGGGUCAUUUAUUUACAAUUCAGUAAAAGUCUCAGCCAAAACCAGCGGAACAUAUAUAUAACUGUAGAGAGCCAUAUGGGGCUAAUUUGCCUUCUGAACAAAUCUGGAAAAGAGAAAGGUGCCACAAAUUGAAUUAAGCUCACAUUAUGCAGAAAGGAAGCAACAGCUGGGAAACAUUUAAAAAAAAGAGAUCCCUUCAAAACAGCCUUGGAAGGCCAGCAGUCAAGUCCAUUUUUCUUUCAGGGCUUAUUCUGUGGUGCUGUUGCCGCUGAGAUCCAACGCCACCGGCCAGGUCGACACACACUUUAUCUUAAGUAUUCACACGAGGUGGGAUGAAAGCCUUUGGACUGAUCGGAUUUGAUUUGGGUGUUCCAAAUAAAUGAUGGUUGCCCCAGGGAAUUGGCUUGCCCAGCUACACGGGCAUCCUGCUAUCAAGGAUGGAAUCGGUGCUGGGUGAGGGAGAGCACUUCCCUGAGCGAGUCUUUGUUGAGUAACCAACACUCACUUCGUUGCACGUAGGUCUUCCUCUGCCUGGCUCCCCGAUUAUUACGGGACUGGGAGUUCCACUCGGUGGCCCGUUCAUGGUCAGGCGCGACUGCGGGGCUGCAGCUAUACUGCUCCCGACACCCAUUUUGCAGAGAGUGCAAUGCAUGUUCUCCGCACUACCCAUCAUUGUGAAUUUGGGCGAUUCCAAGUCACUUCCAUUACUAGCCCCCACGCCAUGCUAGGAAAACAUGGAAGAAUGAAUGGAGCCUCACAUGCAACAAUUUCGAUCAGGGCUCCAACCAGGUGGGAGUUGUGCCAGGGGCUUCUCCAUCUCCCAUUCCUUGCUGGCUUCAAAGAUGGGGUCCUUGCUUUCUCCCAAAUGGAAUCUGGAGACUAUUGAAUUUCCCCAGGGGCCGGCUCCUUGGCCGAGUGGUUAAGUUCGCACGCUCCGCUGCAGCAGCCCAGGGUUCAGAUCCUGGACGCGGACAUGGCACCACUUGUCAGGCCACGUUGAGGCUGUGUCCCACAUCCCACAACUAGAAGGACCUGCAACUAAGAUAUACAACUGUGUAUGGGGGGGCGGUUG
This 1722-nucleotide long non-coding RNA is filed under the name Equus caballus (horse). RNAcentral describes it as "lncRNA (ENSECAG00000055741.1)". Lineage: Eukaryota; Metazoa; Chordata; Mammalia; Perissodactyla; Equidae. The record is from RNAcentral.